AAAAAAGCCAACCUUUCCUCAGGUUUUUCUCUAUUAAGCUAACGAGAUAACGCAAAUAUGAAGAGGUAACUAGGCUUGUAGUGACGAAAACAUGAUGAGUUCAGAAGAAAAAGACGUCUUAUGUUCAAAUGAGGGUAUGGAAGAGGAUGAGGUCAAAGAUGAAGUCCUCAUUUCCCUUUGUGAGUCAAG
Stylophora pistillata is the source of this 189-nucleotide long non-coding RNA. The record is from RefSeq and is a predicted model, not a curated record. Lineage: Eukaryota; Metazoa; Cnidaria; Anthozoa; Scleractinia; Pocilloporidae.